AGGGUUUGAUCCUGGCUCAGAUUGAACGCUGGCGGCAUGCCUAACACAUGCAAGUCGAACGGUAACGACGGGAGCUUGCUCCCGGGCGACGAGUGGCGGACGGGUGAGUAAUACUUAGGAAUCUGCCCAGUAGUGGGGGACAACUCGAGGAAACUCGAGCUAAUACCGCAUACGCCCUACGGGGGAAAGCGGAGGAUCUUUCGGGACUUCGCGCUAUUGGAUGAGCCUAAGUCGGAUUAGCUUGUUGGUGGGGUAAAGGCCUACCAAGGCGACGAUCUGUAGCUGGUCUGAGAGGACGAUCAGCCACACUGGGACUGAGACACGGCCCAGACUCCUACGGGAGGCAGCAGUGGGGAAUAUUGGACAAUGGGGGCAACCCUGAUCCAGCAAUGCCGCGUGUGUGAAGAAGGCCUGCGGGUUGUAAAGCACUUUCAGUAGAGAAGAAAUGCCCAUGGUUAAUACCCGUGGGUCUUGACGUAACCUACAGAAGAAGCACCGGCUAACUCCGUGCCAGCAGCCGCGGUAAUACGGAGGGUGCGAGCGUUAAUCGGAAUUACUGGGCGUAAAGCGCGCGUAGGCGGUUUGGUCAGUCGGAUGUGAAAGCCCUAGGCUCAACCUGG
RNAcentral lists this ribosomal RNA (620 nucleotides) under uncultured bacterium. RNAcentral describes it as "bacterial SSU rRNA". It matches the Rfam family "Bacterial small subunit ribosomal RNA", at positions 8 to 617 of the family's 1533-position model. The record is from RNAcentral.